UACGUAGGGUGCGAGCGUUAAUCGGAAUUACUGGGCGUAAAGCGUGCGCAGGCGGUUCGUUAAGUUCGAUGUGAAAGCCCCGGGCUCAACCUGGGAACUGCAUUGGAAACUGGCGAGCUUGAGUAUGGCAGAGGGGGGUGGAAUUCCGCGUGUAGCAGUGAAAUGCGUAGAGAUGCGGAGGAACACCGAUGGCGAAGGCAGCCCCCUGGGCCAAUACUGACGCUCAGGCACGAAAGCUAGGGGAGCAAACGGG
RNAcentral lists this ribosomal RNA (253 nucleotides) under uncultured bacterium. Its description in RNAcentral is "partial 16S ribosomal RNA". It matches the Rfam family "Bacterial small subunit ribosomal RNA", at positions 524 to 776 of the family's 1533-position model. The record is from RNAcentral.